This 339-nucleotide ribosomal RNA is filed under the name Notemigonus crysoleucas (golden shiner). Its description in RNAcentral is "partial 16S ribosomal RNA". It matches the Rfam family "Bacterial large subunit ribosomal RNA", at positions 675 to 1084 of the family's 2925-position model. Lineage: Eukaryota; Metazoa; Chordata; Actinopteri; Cypriniformes; Leuciscidae. The record is from RNAcentral.
CAGUACCCUCAAGCAAAGAGAACUUUAGUUUGAAACCCCGAAACCAGGUGAGCUACCCCGAGACAGCCUAUGUUAAUCUAGGGCCAACCCGUCUCUGUGGCAAAAGAGUGGGAAGAGCUCCGGGUAGAAGUGACAGACCUACCGAACCUGGUGAUAGCUGGUUGCCUGAGAAGUGGAUAGAAGUUCAGCCUCGUAUUACCCCAGACCAAAGAAUAUAUCACUAAGAUAAUUAGAGAUACAUACGAGAGUUAGUUAAAGGGGGUACAGCCCCUUUAACAAAGGAUACAACCUUUACAGGAGGAUAAAGAUCAUAAUAUAUAAAACAUACUGUUCUAGUGG